GACGAACGCUGGCGGCGUGCUUAACACAUGCAAGUCGAACGGGAUGAUCUUAAAGCUUGCUUUUAGAGAAUCUAGUGGCAAACGGGUGAGUAACACGUAGACAACCUGCCGACAGGAUGGGGACAACAUUCCGAAAGGAAUGCUAAUACCGAAUGAAGUCAGAGGAGGGCAUCCUCCUCUGAUGAAAGAUGGCCUCUGAAUAUGCUAUCACCUGUUGAUGGGUCUGCGUCUGAUUAGCUGGUUGGUGAGGUAACGGCUCACCAAGGCGACGAUCAGUAGCCGGUCUGAGAGGAUGAACGGCCACAUUGGGACUGAGACACGGCCCAGACUCCUACGGGAGGCAGCAGUGGGGAAUCUUCCGCAAUGGGCGCAAGCCUGACGGAGCAACGCCGCGUGAGUGAAGAAGGUCUUCGGAUCGUAAAGCUCUGUUGACGGGGACGAACGUGCCUAGUGCGAAUAGUAUUAG
Molecule: ribosomal RNA, 466 nt
Filed under: Selenomonas sp. oral taxon 478
Lineage: Bacteria; Bacillati; Bacillota; Negativicutes; Selenomonadales; Selenomonadaceae
Description: bacterial SSU rRNA
Rfam family: Bacterial small subunit ribosomal RNA
Source: RNAcentral